Molecule: ribosomal RNA, 1311 nt
Filed under: uncultured bacterium
Lineage: Bacteria
Description: partial 16S ribosomal RNA
Rfam family: Bacterial small subunit ribosomal RNA
Source: RNAcentral
AGAGUUUGAUCCUGGCUCAGGAUGAACGCUGGCGGCGCGCCUAACACAUGCAAGUCGAACGGCACCCACCUCCGGGUGGAAGCGAGUGGCGAACGGCUGAGUAACACGUGGAGAACCUGCGGCCUCCGGGGGGAUAGCCGCCCGAAAGGACGGGUAAUACCGGAUACCCCGGGGUGCCGCAUGGCACCCCGGCUAAAGCGGGCGACGGGAGGGGAUGGCUCCGCGGCCCAUCAGGUAACGGCGGGGUGACGGCCCACCGUGCCGACAACGGGUAGCCGGGUUGAGAGACCGAGGGGCCAGAUAGACACGGGGCAGACUCCUACGGGAGGCAGCAGUGGGGAAUCUUGCGCAAUGGGGGGAACCCUGACGCAGCGAGCAGGGAAGAGUCAAGACUGUUGGGACUGACCUGCAGAAGAAGCCACACCGCCGGCUAACUACGUGCCAGCAGCCGCGGUAAUACGUAGGGGGCGAGCGUUAUCCGGAUUCAUUGGGCGUAAAGCCGCGUAGGCGGCCCGGCAGGCCGGGGGUCGAAGCGGGGGGCUCAACCCCCGAAGCCCCCGGAACCUCCGCGGCUUGGGUCCGGUAGGGGAGGGUGGAACACCCGGUGUAGCGGUGGAAUGCGCAGAUAUCGGGUGGAGUGGCGAAGGCGGCGCCGCGUGCGGACGGAGGCCCUCGGGUCGUAAACCGCUUUCACCCUCUGGGCCGAGACCGACGCUGAGGCGCGAAGCUAACUCAAAGGGACCCCGUGGCGAGAGGAGCCCAUACAGGUGGUGCAUGGCUGUCGGAGCGAACAGGGCCGGAUUAGAUACCCUGGUAGUCCCAGCCGUAAACGAUGGACGCUAGGUGUGGGGGGACGAUGGGCCGUGCCGCAGCCAACGCAUUAAGCGUCGGGCCUGGGGAGUACGGCCGCAAGGCUAGGAAUUGACGGCGCACAAGCAGCGGAGCAUGUGGCUUAAUUCGAAGCAACGCGAAGAACCUUACCAGGCUUGACAUAUGGGUGAAGCGGGGGAGGUCAGCUCGUGUCGUGAGAUGUUGGGUUAAGUCCCGCAACGAGCGCAACCCCCGCCGCGUGUUGCCAUCGGGUGAUGCCGGGAACCCACCGGGACCGCCGCCGUCAAGGCGGAGGAGGGCGGGGACGACGUCAAGUCAUCAUGCCCCUUAUGCCCUGGGCUGCACACGUGCUACAAUGGCCGGUACAGAGGGAUGCCACCCCGCGAGGGGGAGUGGAUCCCGGAAAGCCGGCCCCAGUUCGGAUUGGGGGCUGCAACCCGCCCCCAUGAAGUCGGAGUUGCUAGUAAUCGCGGAUCAGCA